GCCCAUAUUGUAUUGUGAAAUGGACCACAGAGAAAUUUAUUUAAAAUAGCACAGACAACAAUGGGAAAUGAAAACCUUUCCCUUCUAACUAUUAUACAUGUAAUGCACAAUACCUCAACAAGUUAUGAACAGCUUCUCUACUUCUCAGUCAACUAUCAAAGCCAUUCUUUAGGGUUGAUGCAUGCAUCGAGGAGUUUCCAUUCUUCGCUCCCUUCCUCUGGUUGAUGAUUAUAUUCCCAUCGGGAUGUUAGCGGCAGUGAAACGAGAAUGCUCUCAAUCCGGCCUCCUGUCUUCAGUCCAAAAGUCGUGCCACGAUCAUAGACCAGAUUGAAUUCCACAUAACGCCCUCUUCGUAGUUGUUGCCACGACUUAUGCUGGUCGGUGAAUGGGGUGUCCUUUCGCCGUUCUAUAAUGGGCAAAUAUGCUGGAAUAACAGAUUUUGUGCACUCAGUAGAAAAUGCGAGAAGCAUCUCUUGAUCAUAAUCAUUCAGGUCAUCAAAAAAUAUUCCACCAAGACCACGCCUUUCACCACGGUGCUUAAUGACAAAAUAAUCGUCACACCACUUUUUGAAUCUGGGAUAGAAGGUAGGAUCAAACUUGUCACAGGCUUGCUUUUGAAUCUUAUGGAAAUGUUUUACAUCUUCCUCGAAGAUAUAUGCAGGAGUAAAAUCAGUGCCACCUCCAAACCACCAUUGCCUAGGUGCA
This 705-nucleotide unclassified non-coding RNA is filed under the name Hevea brasiliensis (rubber tree). Lineage: Eukaryota; Viridiplantae; Streptophyta; Magnoliopsida; Malpighiales; Euphorbiaceae. The record is from RNAcentral.